GGUUGCGAUCAUACCAGCACUAAAGCACCGGAUCCCAUCAGAACUCCGAAGUUAAGCGUGCUUGGGCGAGAGUAGUACUAGGAUGGGUGCCCUCCUGGGAAGUCCUCGUGUUGCAUUCC
RNAcentral lists this ribosomal RNA (119 nucleotides) under Triticum aestivum (bread wheat). Lineage: Eukaryota; Viridiplantae; Streptophyta; Magnoliopsida; Poales; Poaceae. The record is from RNAcentral.